Molecule: ribosomal RNA, 299 nt
Filed under: uncultured bacterium
Lineage: Bacteria
Description: partial 16S ribosomal RNA
Rfam family: Bacterial small subunit ribosomal RNA
Source: RNAcentral
AUCUGUAAGUCAGUGGUGAAAUCUCACAGCUUAACUGUGAAACUGCCAUUGAUACUGCAGGUCUUGAGUAAGGUAGAAGUGGCUGGAAUAAGUAGUGUAGCGGUGAAAUGCAUAGAUAUUACUUAGAACACCAAUUGCGAAGGCAGGUCACUAUGUCUUAACUGACGCUGAUGGACGAAAGCGUGGGGAGCGAACAGGAUUAGAUACCCUGGUAGUCCACGCCGUAAACGAUGCUAACUCGUUUUUGGGUUUUUAAGAUUCAGAGACUAAGCGAAAGUGAUAAGUUAGCCACCUGGGGA